This 58-nucleotide microRNA precursor is filed under the name Papio hamadryas (hamadryas baboon). Its description in RNAcentral is "microRNA pha-mir-151 precursor". Its record names the gene pha-mir-151. The record is from miRBase by way of RNAcentral. Lineage: Eukaryota; Metazoa; Chordata; Mammalia; Primates; Cercopithecidae. RNAcentral also lists the same sequence under 2 other names.
UCGAGGAGCUCACAGUCUAGUAUGUCUCAUCCCCUACUAGACUGAAGCUCCUUGAGGA